CACACAUAUCCGCCGCCGCCGCCGCCGCCGUCGCCGUCAGCUGAUCAAAUGUAAACAAAACGGACCUAGGCGGCGAGACAUUUGAAAGAAAUAGCCUCACUGUUUUCACUUCUGCUGGCUAUAUAUUCCACAGUCACUCUUUUUCGUGAUUCCUGAAGUGGAAGAGGAGAAAAGAAAAGGCACGAUGGAGGAAGUUGGAGAAAAUUUGUCAGUUUUAAGUAAACUGGUGGAUAUAGUUAUAGAAACUGGGAGAAGAGAAGAGGCCGCUGUGUUCCAGGUGUAGUAGGAGCCAGUUCCUUUUUGUCACCAUGUAUCUCAGCUGAAAAUGAUGCAUCUGUGGCUCAGCUGCAUAGACAGUGUAGAUGCGCUCAAAGAGGAAGUUGUGUCUAUGAGAGAGGUGGAACCAUCCGCUGACUGGGGGUUUGUAGUGCACAUAGAUUUGGUUGGUGCCCCAGCAACCACAAGUAUUACCCACCACUGCAGGAGCCAGUUCCCUUUUCUUUUCAUGUACCUCAGCUGAAAAUGAUGCAUCUGUGUCUCAGCUGUAGCUGUAUCAACUGUGUAUCUACGCUCAAAGAGAAAUCCCCGUUUGUGGUGGAACCAGCCACUGACAGGGGGUUUGUACUGCACGUAGACUUCAUUGGUGCCCCAGCAACCACAGUUGUUACCCACCACUGCAGGUGAGGGUCAAGGUCUUUUCACCACAGCUGGUUGGGAGUUAGUUCAUCACGCGUAACAAGUUUAAAAAUUCCUUCAGAAAUAUAUGGCGUGACUAAACCAAACACUAAUGUUCUACUUCAAGGACACAAGAGAGUUGGAAACUCACAUAGGGCAACGAAAACUGUUGAAUAAAAAGGCCUACUGAGAUGCCAGUUCCCGAAGAGGAUCGAGACUCGAGAGAGUUUGCCAAAAGAGUAAGAUAAAUUUCUUGAAACUUCCCUCUUGAAUUAAUUCAAGUCCUAAGUAGGUGAAAAUACAGAAGCAGUGAAUUCUGAGGUUUACCAGAGAAAGGGAUAAAUAACUGAGAGGAUUCCUGACUUUCAACUCUACCUUGACUAAUCACCUGUGGGCCGGCCUUGCAAGCCAAAGGUCCUCACUGUGUUGAGUGUUCCAGUGAUAGCAGUUUAACAAAAAGGAAAGGGCGCUCCUUCCCUUCUUCGGUAUUAUCGCAUUUAUACUAGUAUGUCAUAAGUUCAGUAGCUGUAUACUUGUGAGUUGUAGCCUGCAUGGUGUUUAAUAACAAUUAUCAUGAUAAUAACAAAUUAUUAUUAUUAUUAUUAUUAUUAUUAUUUAUUUAUU
This 1299-nucleotide long non-coding RNA is filed under the name Portunus trituberculatus (swimming crab). RNAcentral's name for it is "uncharacterized LOC123516452, transcript variant X2". The record is from RNAcentral. Lineage: Eukaryota; Metazoa; Arthropoda; Malacostraca; Decapoda; Portunidae.